Molecule: long non-coding RNA, 575 nt
Filed under: Bos taurus (domestic cattle)
Lineage: Eukaryota; Metazoa; Chordata; Mammalia; Artiodactyla; Bovidae
Description: long non-coding RNA NONBTAT008327
Source: RNAcentral
GUAGUUUCUCCAUUCACUGAUCUCAUGUUUUGAGGGCAUAUUAUCUCAAGAGAUGCUCAGUGCUGGGGUACGAGAGUAAGUCAAACAGAUAUUUAUCUGUUCUUAUGAUGUGUACAAUCAAGGGCAAGCAUUUAUCUGUUCUCAAGGUGCUUAUCAUCAAAGCAAGCGUUAGUUGACUGAUCACACCAACAAGCAAGUGCUACCAAAAAAAAAGUGUGCUGACAACACAGAGCUGGGGCCAGGGAAGGUUUCAACUGAGCUGAAACCUGAAGGAUGCAUGGGACCUAAUGUGACAAUGAGCAGGGAAGGGGAUGGGGCCCCGGGGAAGAAAGAGCAGCCUCUAGUCCACGAGUGGAAAGAAGGCUGUUGGCUGAGGCACUAGAAACCUCAAGGGACCCAAGAGGCAAGGCAGGAAGCAGGCAUGACGAGGACUUAGAGCCUCAUUCUCACAGGAAGCCAUCCACAGGGUUUUAAAGGCAAAGAAAGGGAGGACACUGACCUGGCCAUGCUGGUGGUGUCCUUCCUAGAUCUUCUCUUAAUUCCUUCUGCUGCAACACAUGCUCCCUAGUACCUGC